Molecule: long non-coding RNA, 1114 nt
Filed under: Helianthus annuus (common sunflower)
Lineage: Eukaryota; Viridiplantae; Streptophyta; Magnoliopsida; Asterales; Asteraceae
Description: sRNA HanXRQr2_Chr06g0271341
Source: RNAcentral
AAUGAAAUUUGAUAAGGACAUAGUGGAUACGCCGCUGGUACUUCCUAUAUAUAAGUGUUCUUAUCAAACUAUCAAAAGCCUCGUUAGAUUGGUCGAGAGAGGUUCUACUCGUCAAUCAUGAUUUGAAUAAUGGGUGGAUGAAAAUUUGAUAGGGACAUGGUGGAUACGCCGCUGGUACUUCCUAUAUAUAAGUGUGUCUGUCAAAUUUUCAAAAGCAGCGUUAGACUAAUCAUGAGUGUUUUAGUUAGUUUGUUUUGGUUUUGUGAUUGGAGAAUUCAAAUUCUAUGAUUUCGCUAAUCUAACUCACAUUGUCGCAUUUUAUGAGAAAUACAUCAAGAUCCUAGGUCGUGACACAGAUUGUAGUUUUGGCAUCACGAGUAUCCUUUGCGACUCGGUUGCAAACUCUUCAGUGUUACAGGACAUCUGUGGGACACGAUUUUCUCUUAAGCCGUAACUAAUUCUCGAUUGGUCAUUUAUGGGCUUAACGAUUGUAAUGAUCGUAUGACCUAUGACUGGCUUUCAUUACUGCAUCUUUGGCAAUUAAGAGCGAUUCUUUAAUUGGGUAUGUAACCCUGGUAAGGAACGCUACCGCCACAGCCUAAUCAAAAUCUUAUCUUAGUUUGAGUGUAAUAUCAACGACGUUAGGGCUCAUGUAUAACCCUUGAUUUCUGACUACCCUAAAGAACAGCCUGAUAGUAAGAUUCGAGUUCCUAAUACUACUAAUAAUCGAACCGAUAUCGUUUAUGCCUAUGGAAGAUCAUACGCCUUGUCCUAUGCGAGCAGUUUCCUUUUAAUUUCGGGACGAAAUUCCCAAAAGUUGGGGAGACUGUAACAUCCGUCAAAAUCGGACCUCCGAAAUCCGACCCGGAUUGUAAAACUGGACCCUUUUCAAUUAAAAACAAAUAAGAAAUUUUUGUUUUGUUUUGUUUAUUAUUACAUAAAUCGUCACAUGUUUCAUCAGAUUAAAACCGGAGUUAAAUAGAGGUUUAUAAGAGAACCCGGUAAGUAUAUAAAGGAAUUAAUUAACUACGUUAAAAAUGGUGGUUAAAACAAAAUAUAAAUGUAAAAGGGUGUAAAUUGUCAAAAUAUUAAAGUUACAAGUUAAGGAUUGUUU